RNAcentral lists this small RNA (76 nucleotides) under Kaistella treverensis. Its description in RNAcentral is "Chryseobacterium sp. IMMIB L-1519 Flavo-1 RNA". It matches the Rfam family "Flavo-1 RNA". The record is from Rfam by way of RNAcentral. Lineage: Bacteria; Pseudomonadati; Bacteroidota; Flavobacteriia; Flavobacteriales; Weeksellaceae.
UUUUAGCCCUGAUUGAAGCGGCAUCCUUUUGCGGCGCAAAGCAGAGCAAAAGAUAGAGCUGAAAGCAGGUUCCCGG